UACAGAGGUCUCAAGCGUUGUUCGGAAUCACUGGGCGUAAAGGGUGCGUAGGUGGCGUGGCAAGUCAGAUGUGAAAGCCCGGGGCUCAACCUCGGAACAGCAUCCGAUACUGCCAUGCUAGAGUACUGAAGAGGUGACUAGAAUUCUCGGUGUAGCAGUGAAAUGCGUAGAUAUCGAGAGGAAUACCAACGGCGAAGGCAGGUCACUGGGCAGUUACUGACACUGAGGCACGAAGGCCAGGGGAGCAAACGGG
RNAcentral lists this ribosomal RNA (253 nucleotides) under uncultured Prosthecobacter sp. RNAcentral describes it as "partial 16S ribosomal RNA". It matches the Rfam family "Bacterial small subunit ribosomal RNA", at positions 524 to 776 of the family's 1533-position model. Lineage: Bacteria; Pseudomonadati; Verrucomicrobiota; Verrucomicrobiia; Verrucomicrobiales; Verrucomicrobiaceae. The record is from RNAcentral.